UGGGGAAUAUUGCACAAUGGGCGCAAGCCUGAUGCAGCCAUGCCGCGUGUAUGAAGAAGGCCUUCGGGUUGUAAAGUACUUUCAGCGGGGAGGAAGGGAGUAAAGUUAAUACCUUUGCUCAUUGACGUUACCCGCAGAAGAAGCACCGGCUAACUCCGUGCCAGCAGCCGCGGUAAUACGGAGGGUGCAAGCGUUAAUCGGACUUACUGGGCGUAAAGCGCACGCAGGCGGUUUGUUAAGUCAGAUGUGAAAUCCCCGGGCUCAACCUGGGAACUGCAUCUGAUACUGGCAAGCUUGAGUCUCGUAGUGAGGGGUAGGAUUCCAGGUGUAGCGAUGAAAUGCGUAGAGAUCUGGGAGAAUACCGGUGGCGAAGGCGGCCCCCUGGACGAAGACUGACGCUCAGGUGCGAAAGCGUGGGGAGCAAACAGG
This 429-nucleotide ribosomal RNA is filed under the name Chloroflexota bacterium. Its description in RNAcentral is "Chloroflexi bacterium partial 16S ribosomal RNA". It matches the Rfam family "Bacterial small subunit ribosomal RNA", at positions 355 to 776 of the family's 1533-position model. Lineage: Bacteria; Bacillati; Chloroflexota. The record is from RNAcentral.